RNAcentral lists this ribosomal RNA (427 nucleotides) under uncultured bacterium. RNAcentral's name for it is "partial 16S ribosomal RNA". It matches the Rfam family "Bacterial small subunit ribosomal RNA", at positions 355 to 774 of the family's 1533-position model. The record is from RNAcentral.
UGGGGAAUAUUGGACAAUGGGGGCAACCCUGAUCCAGCCAUGCCGCGUGUGUGAAGAAGGCCUUUUGGUUGUAAAGCACUUUAAGCAGUGAAGAAGACUCCAUGGUUAAUACCCAUGGACGAUGACAUUAGCUGCAGAAUAAGCACCGGCUAACUCUGUGCCAGCAGCCGCGGUAAUACAGAGGGUGCAAGCGUUAAUCGGAAUUACUGGGCGUAAAGCGAGCGUAGGUGGCUUGAUAAGUCAGAUGUGAAAGCCCCGGGCUUAACCUGGGAACGGCAUCUGAUACUGUUAGGCUAGAGUAGGUGAGAGGAAGGUAGAAUUGCAGGUGUAGCGGUGAAAUGCGUAGAGAUCUGGAGGAAUACCGAUGGCGAAGGCAGCCUUCUGGCAUCCUACUGACACUGAGGUUCGAAAGCGUGGGUAGCAAACA